Molecule: ribosomal RNA, 253 nt
Filed under: uncultured bacterium
Lineage: Bacteria
Description: partial 16S ribosomal RNA
Rfam family: Bacterial small subunit ribosomal RNA
Source: RNAcentral
UACGGGGGGGGCAAGCGUUGUUCGGAAUUACUGGGCGUAAAGGGCGCGUAGGCGGCCUGUUAAGUCGGAUGUGAAAACUCUGGGCUCAACCCAGAGCCUGCAUUCGAUACUGAUGGGCUAGAGUUCUGGAGGGGAAAGCGGAAUUCCUGGUGUAGCGGUGAAAUGCGUAGAUAUCAGGAGGAACACCGGUGGCGAAGGCGGCUUUCUGGACAGAAACUGACGCUGAGGCGCGAAAGCUAGGGGAGCAAACAGG